CUUGGAGUAACCAGUGGAGGUGAGUCCCUGCUAAGACUAGAGCUCCGCUACACACACUGUGUUUUUUUCUACUCUCAAUAUUUCUGCUUUACAGUAAACAUUCCUCAUACCGAUAUUUUUCUACACAAUAUGUUGGUCUGUUCGUGCUAUUUCACCAAUUCGCAGAGAUCUUUUCCAGAGACCUGGCAGACAGCAGUCAAUGGAUAUUUAGACUCGAAGAAUGAUUUGUGCUGACGGAAUGCUGCUUUAUUUUAUAUGCUUGCGAGCGCUUAUAAUAGUGCUUUUUAUUUUGUUGGAAUUUGGCAGUCUACACUUUUCCCAUAGCUACAGGCAUUUUCUUGUAAUUGAAGAGGAUUGCCACAAGGAAGAUUUUCUUCACAUGGUGCUAUGCUUUAUGUUUUAAAGUGUGUUUCGUGUGGAUUAUUUCCUAUACUUUCAGGAUACAAAGCUAUGUGUCUAUAGUUUAUAAUUCACAGAUUCUGUUAAAAUCCUGCUUCUUUGUAUAUCGUUAUGAAAUAAAUGUAAAGAAACCAUAAAAGCAGUGACACAGCUAUACAAAUGUCCAGACUGCAAUCAAAAUAAAUAAAUAAACCCAGGUUUAAAAAGUGAAGUAUGAACUUACAACAAUAAAAAGAGGCUCGAAAUUUGUAGAACUUCCCAAAAGCAUUGCUGGCUCUGGAUAGCAAUUUCUUGAAUUGUGAUUGGCUGGCUUUAUAACAAGAAUUUUACAAUGUACAGUGAGGGGGAAAAGUAUGUGAUCCCCUGCUGAUUUUGAACCUUUGUCCACUGAGAAAGAAAUGAUUGUCUAUAAUUUUAAUGGUAGGUGUAUUUUAACAGUGAGAGACAGAAUAACAAAACAAAAAAAAUCCAGAAAAACACGUCAAAAAAGUUAUAAAUUGAUUUGCAUGUCAAUGGGGGAAAUAAGUAUUUGAUCCCCUAUCAAUCAGCAAGAUUUUUGGCUCCCAAGUGUCUUUUAUACAGGUAAUGAGCUGAGAUUAGGAGCACUCUCUUAAAAGCAGUACUCCUAAUCUCAGCUCGUUACCUAUAUAAAAGACACCUGUCCAUAGAAGCAAUCAAUCAGAUUCUAAACUCUUCACCAUGGCCAAGACCAAAGAGCUGUCCAAGGAUGUCAGAUACAGAAUUGUAGACUUACACAAGGCUGGAAUGGGCUACAGACCAUCGCCAAGCAGCUUGGUGAGAAGGUGACAACAGUUAGUGCGAUUAUUCGCAAAUGGAAGAAACAUAAAAUAACUGUCAGUCUCUUUUGGUCUGGUGCUCUAUGCAAGAUCUCACCUUGUGGAGUUUCAAUGAUCAUGAGAACAAUGAGGAAUCAGCCCAGAACUACACUUGGAUACUUUGGCAAAAUUUUCACUGUAGUGAAAACCCAGUGUUUAUCACUAUCUAGGAUUUAGUAGAUUUAUCAGAUUAAUAUGUACAGUGAGGAAAAAAGGUAUUUGAUCCACUGCUGAUUUUUAAUGUUUGUCCACUGACAGAGAAAUGAUCAGUCUAUAAUUUUAAUGGUAGGUGUAUUUUAACAGUGAGAAUAACAAAACAAACAAACCCAGAAAAACACAUGUCAAAAAAGUUAUAAAUUGAUUUGCAUGUCAAUGGGGGAAAUAGGUAUUUGAUCCCCUAUCAAUCAGCAAAAUUUCUCCUAAUCUCAGCUUGUUACCUGUAUAAAAGACACCUAUCCACAGAAGCAAUCAAUCAGAUUCCAAACUCUCCACCAUGGCCAAGACCAAAGAGCUGUCCAAGGAUGUCAGGGACAACAUUGUAUACAGAGAAAGGAUUGGGGGCACACCCAAGACCCUGCAUUUUGCAUGAAAGGUGCUGCUGCAGUGACCAAACUUCAUACAUGAAAAAUAUUGUUGCUGCGCACUCAGACUACAAAAAAUACAACACAAAGAAGGCUUCUAAAUUGCCUAUCUAAGAAUUAAAUAUGGGGAUUUAGUUCCACCAUAUGGCCAUAUGAUGUUAAGCCCACCACUGCUUUCAAAGUACCCCAAUGUUGGUGGGUCCUAAGCUAAAAUGUGGGGGACAAAUUAAAUAGUACUAGUGUUAAAAAUAAACUGUGUUUUUUUUGUAUACUCGCUUUGCUUUUACAAGGAUUUAAUAAUACACUUUACUGGAAUGGGCUACAAGACCAUCACCAAGCAGCUUGGUGAGAAGGUGACAACAAUUGGUGCGAUUAUUCACAAGUGGAAGAAACACAAAAUAACUGUCACUCUCCCACAGCCUGGUGCUCCAUGUGAGAUCUCAUCUCGUGGAGUUUCAAUGAUCAUGAGGAUCAGCCCAGAACUACACGGGAGGAUCUUGUUAAUUAUCUCAAGACAGCUGGGACCAUAGUCACCAAGAAAACAAUUGGUAACACACUACUCCGUGAAGGACUAAAAUCCUGCAACGCCCGCAAGGUCCCCCUGCUCAAGAAAGCACAUGUACAGGACCGUCUGAAGUUUGCCAAUGAACAUCUCAAUGAUUCAGAGGAGAUCUGAAUGAAAGUGUAGUGGUCAGAUGAGACCAAAACCAAGCUCUUUGGCAUCAACUCAACUUGCUGUGUUUGGAGGAGGAGGCAUGCUGCCUACAACCCCAAGAACACCAUUCCCACCGUCAAACAUGGAGGUGGAAACAUUAUGAUUUGGGGGCCAUGUACUGUCAAAUCUUGGGUGAGAACCUCCUUCCCUCAGACAGGGCAUUGAAAAUGGGUCGUGGAUGGGUAUUCCAGCAUGUCAAUGACCCAAAACACAAAGCCAAGGCAAUAAAGGAGUGGCUCAAGAAGAAGCACAUUAAGGUUCUGGAGUGGCCUUGCCAGUCUCCAGACCUUAAUCCCAUAGAAAAUUUGUGGAGGGAGCUGAAGGUUCGAGUUGCCAAACGUCAGCCUCAAAACUUUAAUGACUUGGAGAGGAUCUGCAAAGAGAAGUGGGACAAAAUCCCUCCUGAGAUAUGUGCAAACCUGGUGGCCAACUACAAAAAACAUCUGACCUCUGUGAUUGCCAACAAGGGUUUUGCCACCAAGUUGAAUGGGUCAAAUACUUAUUUAUUAUUAGUUAUUAUGUCUCUAACUGUUAAAAUACAUCUACAAUUAAAAUUAUAGACUGUUUCCUUGUCAGUGGGCAAACAUUCAAAAUCAGCAGGAGAUCAAAUACUUUUUUCCCUCACUGUAUCCCUGGUAUCAUUGUAUAUACCAGUGACACCUCAGAGCAUAUCCCCAGGGACAUUCUCAAAGGUCUCUCACUGAGGGACAUCUCAAUACUGUGUCAUGUGUCUGAGUGUUCCCCAGAACAUUGGUACAAGGAAUCUCAUAGUACUUUGUAGUAUGUAAAGUGUAUUACAGAGCUCUAAAGCAAUGGAUCUCAUGUUUGAUGUGUGUAAUGAAUUAUAGAACCUUGGUGUAAUAGAUCUCACAGUAAUAUGUGCGUAUAAGUGUGUUACAGAGCCAUUUCUACAAGUGGGUCUUAGGAUUUUAUAGUGGAAAGGCCUCCACAUGAGGUUCACCCGAGUCAAUUUCAGGUUUGGAACGGAUCAAUUUCAAGUGUUUGCAAGUAAUAGAAGCCACUGUUUUAUUUCCUUUGAUGAAGGUCUCUUGCAUUGGACCACUGGAGAAUUACCAUGACAAUGUCUUUGUCAUACCCAAUGGGCAUGAUUUAUUGUUCAUCGUGAAAAUAUUGUCAUAUUGCCAUUCUAUGUGGCGUAUAUCCAUUGUUAAAAUAUUGUUACUUUGGGUACUGGAUGCAUGGAAUGGUUACUCAAAUAGAGUUGAUAUGACUGAUUAUGGUUAGGGUUAAUUUGUCUGUUUGAGCUUGAGAAAUAAGUCCUUCAUUAGACUUGCAGGAAAAGGAUAGCAAAUUAAGCUCUAUUUUUUUAAUUUAUUAUUAUUAUCAGAGAGAGCUUGAGGAACAACAUACCACUGGCAGUGUGGAUAGUGAGUCAAUCAAGGGUUACUUUCUUCAAGUUUUGGAAGUGAUUUUAGAUGCAAUUUUAUUUUUGUGCCAUUUUGUAUGAAAUAUAUAUCAUGUAUGGUCUCACAUUAAUUUUCCAGACUUGCAGAGAUGAUCUGACUUGGUUGAAUUGCACAUUUUCAGCCAGGUUUGGAAUGCAUUAAUUGCCCUUCAUCAAACUGGAAAUCCAGCAUCUCUCCCCUUGUUUGUAACAUAUUUUGCAUAUAUAUGCAAGGAGGCUAUAUAAGACUUAUAUAAUAAUAAAUACUUAUAUAAUAAUAUACUAUAAUAUAAUAUUGUGAUUUCAUAUAUACUUUUGCCAAAUUGUGGAGUUUUUUUGUUGUUUUUUUUUCUUUUCAUUUUUUAUUUAUUGACAGAGAGAAAAAUGCAAUCUUUUGUACAUGUAUCCAGUGAUUCCCAGAUUUGUUGGGUAACUUUACCCCUUAAGGACACAGCUUCAGAAGCUGGACAUACCCUUAAGGACACAAGCUUUUUUUGCAUUUUUUUGCUGUUUGUGUUCAACUGCAAUUUGCAUCUCUCUCAUUUGUUGCAUCAACACAUAUUAUAUAUUGUUUUUUAAAGGACAAAAUGGGCUUUAAUUUGAUGUGACAUAUACAUAUAUAAAAUCUAAUUUAUUAUUUAAAAAAAAUAUUAAAAUAAAUGUAACAUUUUUAUUUUUUUCACUUUUUUGGCAAUUUUGUGUGUGCAUAAUAUGUCCAGCCUAGGUAAAGUAAUUCAAAAUAAAUUCAUUUAUGUGUCUUGAUUUACAAAGUGCAUAAUAUGUAUAGGAUUUCAGCUUAUUUUGAAAGCUACAGGUCACAAAAUACAAGGAGUAAUAUAACAUUUAAUGUGAAACAAUUUUAUAAGUUGGUAUGUUUGACUUGUAAGUUUAAUAACCACCACAGAAAACACAAUUGCAACACAAAAGUAUAUAUUUAUAUAAAGCAGACAUCACAGGCUAUUUAUCCAAGGGUAUUUUGACUCUUUUUUUGUAGCCAUUUCACCACCAAUAUCUGCUAAAUAUUGUAGUAAAAUUGACAUACACACAUAAAACAAGGUUUUUUUAAUGUGUAUUUUGUAAAGCUGCUGUGUGCUGUUCAAAAUCCCAUAUUGUGUUCAGCUACAUCUGUUGAGUACAACAAUACCCCAUUGUAUGCCUUUGCCACUAUUUUGGGAAGCUACAAUGACAUAUAAGGGGCCAGACUAUUUCAGUUUCUACAGUUAGAAAAGUCAAAGAUGGAUUUGAUGGACCUAUGUCUUAUUUUGGGUCAUUAUAAUAUUUUAGUUGUUCAAAUGACCACGCAAAGGCCUUCCAUUCGUGAAAGUAGACACUCCAGGGUAUCUCAUAUGGCAUAUAUUGUGCUUUGACAUGUUGCCAUUUUUUCACCAUUAUAUGUCAAAGUUUGUGGUAAAAAAAUAUUGUUCGCAUUUUCUACUUAAGCAUUACAUUUGUGCUAGACAUUAUGUAUAUUUGAUAUGUUCCACUAUGAUCAAACACCCCAAAUUAUGCUCAGCUAACUCUUCUGAGUAAACCAAUACCCCCAAUGUAUGCCUUUGGCACUAUUUUGUGAUGCUACAGUGCCAUAUAGGAGACCUGACCAUUUCAGUUUUUAGAGUAGAAUUUUGAGAGACGGAUGUGAUAGGUUUAUGUCUCAUUUUGGGGUCUAAUAGUAGGUUGCUUAUUCAAACUUCCCCCACAAAAGCCUACCAUUUUUAAAGAAGACACUCCAGGGUAUUUCAAAAGGCCUGUUUUGAACCUUAGCGUGAGAUCAUUUUUUUUUUGCUACUUAUUACCAAGUCUAGUAGUAGUAAGCAUUUUCUCUGCCUUUUUGACACACACUUUGAGAAUUUUUGUUAUACUUUUUUCACUUUUUACAAACUUUCUAAAACUUUGCACACGAUCCAUCUCUCUCCACUUCACCACACACACAGAGGUGAAGGGUGGCGGAUCAGAAGUCUCAGCAGCACUGUGAUCGCUGUCACAUGUGCUGGGACAGCGCUCUUGGCUGUUGCUGGUCUUCCUCGAACGCUGAUGCACCCAGCAACAGCGUUAACCCCACAAUCACCACAAAAUUUUCCGUCAAGCAUUCUUAAGGGUAGGUCUUGCCUUGAUGGAAAAGUUCAGUCAAACGUCGUUAAGGGGUUAAGAUGCCCCAUUUUUAAAUUGUCCUGUUGGUGGCAGCUUUGAUACUAGCAUGAGUGUGGGUGGUGUUAAAGAGGGAUUUUGAGCACUAUUUAGGGUCUAGUGCAGACAAAUAGUGCUUUUUAACCCUUUCACCCACUGAAGAAAGUCACGUGCCCACCUCGAUGUGGAGGUGGUGUACAAAUUUCCACCAAAGAUGAUAUUAAAUAUGGACAGUCCCCCCAGAUAUUUAAUAUAGUACUGACAAUAUUACACCCCUCAAAAUAUUUUGAGCUUUAUUUUAGGUCUAGUGCAGACAAAUAAUGAUUUUUAACCCUUUCAUCCACUGAAGCAAGUCCCAUGUCCACCUUGGAGUGGUGGUAUACAAAUUCCUGCCAAAGAUGGUUUUAAAUUUGGACAGUCCCCCAAAAUAUGUUAUAUAGUACUGACAAUAUCACACCCCCAAAAAUAAAAGAUCUUUGUAUCUUUGAGAGAGUUCUGAUGAGAUUAGGUACCACUAACAACACACUAUUAUUUCUUAAACUAAUUCAAUCUGAUUAGUGCAAUGUGAACCCUGCAAAUUGAUGUUUAUAGCUUUUCCCGUAGCUCAUUUUGGAAGACAGACUGCAGAUCACUUUCCUAUCAAGUGUUUUAAAAAACCCUAAGGAUAUAACAUGUCCUUAUAAAAACAGCAGAUACUUUCUUUAGCACCUCUCAUCAGGUUUUCUGCUGCUAAGAGUUUGAUAUUCAAAGAACCCAUUUCAGAAAUGUGCACUUUGUAUAUAUUUCUAGUAAUAAUUUUUUAAAGUUACAAUUUACCUACUACCUUUAGAAUUAUAGAUUAUUUUUACAAAUGCAGGUCUGUGAUCUCUAACUCACAUGAACAAUCUAUAUAUAUAUAUAUAUAUAUAUAUAUAUAUAUAUAUACACCCUGUUCCUAAUUAUUAUGCAAAUUCUAUUUAAGUGUCACAAAGAUUAAAUAUUUUGUUUUUCAGUUUAACUCAUGGAUGGCAUUGUGUCUCAGGGCUCUUUUGAUCACUGAAAACAAUCUCGGACACCUGUGAUAAUUAGAUUGCCAGAUGAGCCCAAUUUAAGGAAAAACUACUAAAGGAAGGUGUUCCACAUUAUUUAGUAGAGCACCAAUUUCAUGCAAUAUGGGGAAGAAAAGGGAUCUCUUCUGCCAAAAAGAGUGAAAUAGUUCAAUGCCUCGGACGAGGUAUGAAAACAUUAGAUAUUUCACGAAAACUUAAGCGUGAUCAUUGCACUAUUAAGAGAUUUGUGGCUGAUUCAGAGCACAGACGGGUUCGUGCAGAUAAAGGCACAUUGAGGAAGAUUUCUGCCAGAUCCAUGCAUCGGAUCAAGAGAGCAGCUGUUAAAAUACCAUUACAUAGCAGCAAACAGAUAUUUGAAGCUGCUGGUGCCUCUGGAGUCCCACGGACAUCAAGGUGCAGAGUCCUUCAGAGUCUUGCAACUGUGCAUAAACCUUCUAUUUGGCCACCACUAACCAAUGCUCACAAGCAGAAAUGGCUGCAUUGAGAAGAAAAAUACAUGAAGACUAAUUUUCAAACAGUCCUGUUCACUGAUGAGUGCCGUGCAACCCUGGAUGGUCCAGAUGGAUGGAGUAGUGGAUGGUUGGUAGACGGCCACCCUGUUCCAACAAGGCUGCGACGUCAGCAAGGCAGUGGUGGAGUCAUGUUUUGGGCCGGAAUCAUGGGAAGAGAGCUGGUCGGCCCCUUUAGGGUCCCCUGAAGGUGUAAAGAUAACCUCUGCAAAGUAUGUGGAGUUUCUGACUGACCACUUUCUUCCCUGGUACAGAAGGAAGAACUAGGCUGUCAGUAAUAAAAUCAUCUUCAUGCAUGACAAUGCACCAUCUCAUGCUGCAAAGAAUACCUCUGCAUCAAUAGCUGCUAUAGGGAUAAAAGGAGAGAAAGUCAUGGUGUGGCCUCCAUCCUCCCCUGACCUCAAUCCUAUUGAGAACCUUUGGAGCAUCCUCAAGCAAAAGAUCUAUGAGGGUGGGAGGCAGUUUACAUCCAAAAAGCAGCUCUGGGAGGCUAUUCUGACAUCUUGCAAACAAAUUCAAGCAGAAACUGUCCCAAAACUCACAAGUUCAAUGGAUGCAAGAAUUGUGAAACUGCUAUCAAAUAAGGGGUCCUAUGUUAAAAUGUAACAUGACCUGUUAAAAUGUUUAAAAAGUUAAAAUGUUGUUAUAAGUUUGAUUGAAAUAGCUUUUGGUUUCAGUAAAUAUUCUGCAAACACAACUGUAGCGGAUGGCACUGGGCUGUCCUGGGAAUUGCAUUGGUUUUAACUGCAUUCGUCUAAUUGACAAGUUAUAUGUGUGUAAAUGUAUUGUAUUCGUCUGAUUGUUCGGUAGAAUCAUUCUAACAAAUAAGGGAAUUAAACUACCGAACAGUCAGACCUCCCCGGUGUGAAGUGUGCCUUCAAUUACCCGUUGCAACAUUGUUGCGAACGGGUAAUUGACAAGCUGUGCAGUAGUCCUUUGUUCUUGGGGGUGGCCGCCAUUCGGGAAAGGAACACGUGGCGGCGGCCAUUUUAAAACUCCCGAACAGCGGUGUUUUGCCGUCGAGUGUCUGGAACUCAAAUCGGACACUCGACUAGGCGAACACCGCUGAGACCUCCACAAGCCCGGUCCGUUCAGUUCCAAACUACCAAACGGCCCCUCGUUUGGUAGACAGAAACAACCAAACGAGGGGAUUCUGGCGAACCCUCCCUAGUCUCUGUAACUGGAGGCUUUCGUGUAAUUUAUUCCCUUGUUCCAGGACCGACCGCAGGGCCCCAUCGCAUGGAACCCAGUUCGGCUAUUCUUUCCAGCGCGGUCGGUCAUUUUAUUCCCUCCAUAAAUUUCCCGAACCCCUGGUCCGAUCUGGGUGAUUUUUGGAUAUGUUGUUCACCCAGAUCAGGGCUACCAAGGGAUGUAUAAUUUAAAGCGGUACCCCUAGAUUUAGGGGUACAUCCAGAAAUGGGGGGAAUUGGUGUCCUGGAUAAGGGGAUUAAGAUGCAGGCUGAGGGGAGGAGAUGUGUGGGAGGUUACCAGAACAGGAUUGGCUACUGUACUAAUGACUGUAAAUCCUUCCCUUGCAUGGGAGCAUGCUUUAUAAGGCCACUGUCUGAAUAAAUCUUUAGUUCUGCUCCUGAUACUGUGUGUCGUCCAGUUAUUGGGAGUGCUGUUGGGAUACUACUGGAUUGUUUUACCUGCUGGAUACCUUGCCUAUGGAUUUAUAAUUGCUUGUUCCUGAUCCUCACUGGGAUCUACAAGUGGAGGUAGGCUAUGAAAUACUAGCUCUCCGCUUCAACAACAAAUGACAAUUUUCAGUUCUUUACAACCUAUAAAGUGUUUUGAAACUUACCGUGCGUAAUAAUUUGGAACAGUGCAUUGUAAGUUUUUUAUGUUUAAAAAAAAUACUUGUAUCAUUAGGAGGUUUGUUCAAUAAAAUUUGAAUUGUACUCUUAAUAGUUGAUAACAUGAGAAUUAUGCUGACUGGUUUUUACAUCAAUUAUUUAGGUCAUGGGUUGUCAACCUGGUAACUAGCGCCCACUAGUGGGCGUUUCAGGAUUCCAGGUGGGCGAUAUGGGUUUCGACGGCACAACGAGCUAAAAUGCUAGCUAAUCCUCCUUUUGUGGGAGUGGGCGGACGGGCGCGAGUGCACACAUGAAAGUGCGUAUGCAAGAGAAUGCAUGCACACAAACAAGCGAAUGCGUGCAUGCGCUCACAAACGUGUAACACGUGAGAAGUGGAAGGGGAGGAGUGGAAGCUGAUGCACGAUAGUAGGGACAGGCAGAAGCGGAGUAGAGCAGUUGUAAAAUAGGAGAAAGAAAAGUUAGGAGAAAGAAAAAGUUAUAGGCAGGACAAGGAGAGAAUUGUUGUUGGCUAAUAAUAACAAGUGGACUAACUAGCUCAGCCUUACUUUUGUACAUUGCCAUAAGGAAGGUAAAAUAAAAGCAUAAACAAAAAAAGAGAUAAAAAGGAAAAGAUCAAAACAAUUUAAAAAAAAGAGAAGAAAAAGAAAAAAGGGGAUAAAAUAAAGGAGGAGAGUACUUGUACAAAAAGGGGAAAGAAGGAGCAGAGUACUUGGAAAAAAUAGGAGAAAGAAGGAGCAGAGUACUUGUAGAAUAGGAGAAAGAAGGAGCAGAGUAUUUGUAAAAAGAAGAAGCAGAGUACUUGGAAAAAGGAGAAAGAAGGAUCAGAGUACUUGUAGAAUAGGAGAAAGAAGGAGCAGGGUACUUGUAAAAAGAAGAAAGAAGGAGCAGAGUACUUGUAAAAAGAAGAGAAAGAAGGAAAAUAAAAAAAGGAAAAGGAGAGAAUUGUUGUUGGCUAAUAAUAGUAAGUGGGCUACUUAGCUCAGCCUUCCUGCUGGACAUUGCUAUAAGGAAGGUAAAUAAAUAGAAAAAAGGAAGGAAAGAAACAAAAGGGGGGAGAGUUGAGGAAGGAGAUGCACAGAUGAGAAAUCAUAUUAUGAGCAAACAGAGAAGUCGUCUGAAUAUCACCGAAAGAGGAGACCUUUGUUUGUUCCUUACGAAAAUCGAACCAGAUAUCAAAUAUUUAGUCUUGCAGCAUCAACCUCAAGGAUCUCAUUAAUCACCAGUAAAGGUAAUUUCAAUUUACUUUAUUGUUUUCUCAUUAAACUUUAUAAUGUUAAAAACCAUUAUAAACAUGCAUAAAGUAGAAAUAAAAAUAUAAAUGUAUGUACAUUUUUUAAAACACCCUCCUUUCUAAAAAAUAUUCUGCACUUGCGCGAAAACUGGUGGGCGGUAAGGAAAUUUUUCAAUCUAGAAAGAUGCAUUAGUGGGCGGUAGGUAGAAAAAGGUUGACUACCCCUGAUUUAGGUAAAUGAGAAAAAUAUAAUUUGCUUAAUAAUUUUGAACAGGGUGUAUAUAUUUUGUUUGUUUGUUUGUUUUUUCUGCAGUUACAUGGUUAAUAUGUUUUUACACUUUACUCACUAUUGGAAGGCUUACAGCCAAUAUCUUUCUUUAUGGUCAUUUUUCAAGUACAUCAUUUGUAUGAUCAUAAAAUGUGAACACUCUCCUGACUACCUGUCUCAACCCAAACCAUUACUAAUCUCCAUCCAUCUUCCUCCUAAUAUCCUGGGGCUAAUGCCUCACUAAUUGCAAUGUGUCACUUCAACUGGCAACAAUUCAUUGUUAUACAAAAUUACACCUCACAAUUUCUUUUUUUUUUUUCUCUCAGUUACAAAGUCAUUGCAACUUUUCCACUGCUUUAAGCAUAUUUAAAAAGCCCUGUAUAAAAUAACUGUCACUUUUAACAGCCAACCUCAUGUAUCUCCUCAUAAUUUAUUAUGGAUCAUGGAAGUUAAUUGUCAAGAGAAAUGCAUUCGGUGAACACAUUUUUAGUUUAUUUAAUUGCUUUAUUUAACAUAUUAACCAAAUAUUAGUUACUUUUCAUGUUUCCUAUUACUUUGUGUGUGUAAGGAUUCCAGUGGAUAUAAAGCAGAAGUUUUAUUUUUCAUAAAGUGCCAGUCUUUUGGCUCAUUGUAGUUUCGAAUAGACACCAUCUCAGUUGAGAAAUCUGCUUACAAAUAGAGUCUGAGAUACUCUUACCUAAGUCCUCAACACUGCUAUUUUCACCUGACAGAUGAAGAUUCUAGAAUGUGCAUCAUUGUUUGUGCUAUUCUGCAUAUGUGCAAGAGUUUAAAAUUGAGUUUAUGGAAGGCCUUGUGAAACUGAGGAAUUUUUUUUAGAGAUCUUCUCCUGUAAGAACAAUGAGAUUCCAUAGAAAAUGCCUUUUCACAUCACAAAUCACAAGAGUCAGCUGAUGGGAAAGCAACAGGCUGUGAAACUACAAAAACAAAUUGAUGGACUCACAUGAGUACUCUACAAACUUUGAAUAUAAAUUGAAAAAAUAUGUGAUCAUUAAGUUGCCCAAAAGGUAGAUGUUUAGAACUGCAAGUUUCAUGAUGCUUUUCCAUUUUUAACACCGAGGAACAUCUAGACAUCUGAGGAUUUACUGUUUGAGCACCCCCUGCAAUGUUUACUAGAGUCAGAGGUUUAUAAUAUUAGAUCUAAAUGCCUAGUAAAGAGGAGUGACCUUUUGAUAAAGCCAUGCAUGGACAAAUAAUUGAAUUGUAACCACAAUCACAAAACCAGCACACUUUGACUGAACACCCCCAAAUUCUUAAAGCGGCACUCUCAUCAUCUGGGAACUUUAUCAGAAUUUGCAAAGACCCCCCUGAUGGUGACAUCACCGCUGGUGGCUGUGGGGUAGGAAAAGGUGAAUUUUACUUGCUGAAUAUUUCCCUUGCGGGCGCUGCCAUCUUCCUCCGGUGGGUCCACCAAAAAAACGACAUCACUGCUGUACUUUAGCAUAUGGGCAAGAGUACACAAUUAAUGUCUAAGGAGCCAUUUCCCUGCAACAGCCACUGGUAACAGCUGUCAGGAUUGACACUGUAGCUCCACCCAGUGUUUAAGAAAGUCAGGUGUAGGAAAAAUACGUAUAGUCCUUACUUUGUCUUAAUGUUUUUAGUUAGAAAUAGAUUAAAAUAAAAUAAAAAGACAGAGAGAGUAGGAAAGAUAAGAGAAAGCAGUUGGGGAAAAGGUAAGUUUGACGUGACAGUGCUGCUUUAAAUGGAUAUUCCAGUUAUAGUAGAUCUGUGCAAUUAAUAUUACUUUUAAUUUAUAUUUUUAACACGGUUCUUCAGAUUUUACACUUCAUUUAGAGGGACAUUAUAUUCAGGAAUCUACCAUUAUCAUUAAUGCAAUAUAUAGAUGAUGCAUUAAAACAUGCAGAAAGACAAAUUAAAAAUAUAUUAAAUAAAAAAAAAAAUUCCAUUCAGGUUUCUGCAUUUGCAGCAAAGCCAUAGAAUUUACAAAUUUUACAUUGAACUAUUCUCAUCUUCUAUUUUCUUAUGUAAAUAAAAAAUAGGACAAAGGAAUUUCAAUUCCAGCUGUAUCUCUUUCAGCCUAGAUCGUGAUACGUUGCAAUUAGGCGAUCUCCAGGACGAAAGCUUUAUUGUUAUUGAGAAGUGUUUGAUUUUAUCGUGGAACAUGUCAUAAAGCUGGCCCACUAAUAGAGGUGUAAGGUAUAAACACAGAUUUAAUAAGGAAUUGUAACAAGAGUGGAUGUGAGGCUUGUAAUAGCCAAAAGGGUUUUUAUAAAAAGUUUUAUUAGACACUGACAUCCUACUAGUGUUAAUUGUAAUAAAUAACCCAGAUGAGCUCAUAAGGCCACAGAUCUAUACCUUGCCAGUGGGAAGCAUAAUGCGUAAUUUCAAUCGUGAUAUCAUUCAAGAAAUUAUACACUGAUAAGGAGAGCCUUCUUACUGAACCCCAGGAUAUGUGCAGAAAUGAAGUGCAAAAAAAAUGAUCAUUUAUUUCUAGCUUUACCAGUGAUUUCUAAAUGAAAUAGCACGUCUCAUGGGGGACCCCCCUCUUUCUUACACAGGACCACUUUUUUCCCCACCAAAGUGCUCUGAACCUGGCCUAUACACCCAGUGGUGCUAACUCAUGGAAAGCCGAGCUGGAGGAAGACCCAAGGACCAGAGCUGAUUGUCUGGACCCGCACCAAAUCAGAAAUCAGUCUCAGCCUGGUAAACUUUUAACCUGGUGGCAAUUAAACAUGCUAGCUGGCAGUACGAGGUGUAUGGGGCCACCUUGGUUUUAGGGUUAUCCUUUUUGGGUAAGGAGUUUUGGGUCUCGGAUCUAUUGGCACCCAGUUUGGAGACAACUCAGUAGAGGAUUGACUCUGAGCAGCCCAGACAGAGUGGCACUGUGAUGAUCAGUGUCUUUUGUUAUACGGAUCUGCUCUUUGAGUGGGCAGCAAUAAACUAUCUAUAAUCUCUCCAGGUAACAAGAAAAUAAGGGAGAUACUCAGGCUAAGUACCAAGCUCCACUAAAGUAAGUUGUUAAUGGAUAUAAUUAUACAGAAACAGUAUUUUUUAGAUGAUUUAUUUUCUCUCAGACGUUGCCUUUAUAAUAUGUUCACACUGGUUCAACUGUGCACAAAAAGGGUCUCAUAAACCUUCACAGGCUUGUGUAAAUGAGUCCUCCCAAGAUGGCUGCCACAUGAGCAGAUGCAGUUUAGGUUAAAGAGCUGCCGUUUUAUGUAGAAACCUCAAAAGUAGUGUUUACAAGAUAAGCAACGACUCUCAAAGAUCUGUGGUCAUCUCCAGUGGGAACCGGUAAAACCCCCACUCGGUGCAUUGAGGCAAUGCAGGAACUGAGGAUUAGCAAUCUCAUGGAUCACUCAGAAAUUCGAUGGUCCCUAUACACCUGAUGAUUGGUUUGGUAGGCUGAACUCUUUGAUUUCUAAGGCAAGUUGGCCUAUCCAUUUGAGAGAAUCCUAUUGGGGUAUCAUUAUUACAACAGAACUUCCACUCCGUGUAUAGGCACCCUGUGACUGUAUGUUCAAAUCCUUACUUACAUUUUGUUACCUUGAAUUUCUCACUUGAAAGAAUAGUGGGUGGCUUUAGUGUCAGAGCAGGGUUUUUUAAAGGGGUGUAAAUACAAAAAGAUAAGUCCUGCGGUCACUCCAAUCACUCCUGGAAGGCAGCAACGACCACAGUACACAUCAGCCCCAAUAUAUAGUAAAAACCAAAGAAAAAAAGGAGUUACCUGCACUCUCUCCUUAAUCCCUAUGUUUAUUUAGACAAAUGGAGGUCAUUUAGUUACUCCAAUGGCCAUUGGUGGGAAUGCCCGCCUGCCAACAUCAAGGCAGACCCCCCCUAUACUUGCUGGUAGAUUGUGUUUUUUUAUUUUUCUUUAGUAUUUUUCUCUCUAGUUAAAUUACAAAAUUAUGGGGUUAUCCCCCGUUUUCUCUUUGAUGCAACCAUUGUGUCUCUUCUUUACCCUAUAGGCGUUACUCUCUCUCUCUAAUUAACUAUAUAUAUACACAUAUAUAUAUAUAUAUACAGUAUCUCACAAAAGUGAGCACACCCCUCACAUUUUUGUAAAUAUUUUAUCUUUUCAUGUGACAACACUGAAGAAAUUACACUCUGCUAUAAUGUAAAGUAGUAAGUGUAUAGCCUGUAUAACAGUGUAAAUUUUCUGUCCCCUCAAAAUAACUCAAUACACAGCCAUUAAUGUCUAAAGUGUUGGCAACAAAAGUGAGUACACCCCUAAGUGGAAAUGUCCAAAUUAAGGCCCAAAGUGUCAAUAUUUUGUGUGGCUACCAUUAUUUUCCAGCACUGCCUUAACCCUCAUGGGCAUGGAGUUCACCAGAGCUUCACAGGUUGCCAGUGGAGUCCUCUUCCACUCCUCCAUGGCGACAUCAAGGAGCUGGAGGAUCUUAGAAACCUUGCGCACCCCCACCUUCCGUUUGAGGAUACCCCACAGAGGCUAAAUAGGGUUUAGGUCUGGAGAGAUGCUUGGCCAGUCCAUCACCUUUACCUUCAGCUUCUUUCGCAAGGCAGUGGUCGGCUUGGAGGUGUGUUUGGGGUCAUUAUCAUGUUGGAAUACUGCCCUGCAGCCAAGUCUCCGAAGGGAGGGGAUCAUGCUCUGCUUCAAUAUGUCACAGUACAUGAUGGCAUUCAUGGUUCCCUCAAUGAACUGUAGCUCCCCAUGGCGGCAGCACUCAUGCAUGCCCAGACCAUGAAACUCCCACAGCACUCCAUGCUGACCAAUUAAUGCAGUGUGUGGCAUAUGGUCUGAGCACAGACAGGCUGACCCCCCAUCCCUUCAACCUCUGCAGCAAUUCUGGCAGCACUCAUAUGUCUAUGUCCCAAAGACAACCUCUGUAUAUGACGCUGAACACGUGCACUCAACUUCUUUGGUUGACAAUGGCAAGGCCUGUUCUAAGUGGAACCUGUCCUGUGAAACCACUAUAUGGUCUUGUCCACCAUGCUGCAGCUCAGUUUCAGGGUCCUGGCAAUCUUCUUAUAGCCAGGCCAUCUUUUUGCAGGGUCCUGGCAAUCUUCUAAUAGCCUAGGCCAUGUUUUUGUAAAGCAACAUUUAUUUUUUUCACAUUCUCAGAGAGUUCUUUGCCAUAAGGUGCCAUGUUGAACUUCCAGUGACCAGUAUGAGAGAGUGUGAGAGCGAUAACACCAAAUUUAACACUCCUGCUCCCCAUUCACACAUGUAGCACUAGCAAGUCACAUGAUACCGGGGAGGAAAAAUGGCUAAUUGGGGGUACUCACUUUUUUUUGCCAACGGUUUAGACAUUAAUGGCUGUGUGUUGAGUUAUUUUGAAGGGACAGCAAAUUUACACUGUUAUACAGGCUGUACACUUACUACUUUACAUUGUAGCAGAGUGUCAUUUCUUUAGUGUUGUCACAUGAAAAGAAAUAAUAAAAUAUUUACAAAAAUGUAAGGGGUGUACUCACUUUUGUGAGGUACUGUAUAUAGGUACAGGUUGUUCACGACUUUACAAACUAAUUGGUUAUUGUUGUAUAAUUAUAGAAUUCUUGAAAUUAUCUAAGCUAAUACUUUGGCAGGAAGAAAUGUGCGUCAGCAGAACAAUGAGUUUCUGUUGAAUGAAAUAUUGUAGCAACUGAGCCACAUGUUGGUCUUAAUAAAGUACGUGUCAGCUGAAUAAUAAAAUGUGUAUUUACUAAAAGAACCUUGAAACUAACAAUACCAACUACUCAAAAUGGCUGCCAAAGCACCCCUCCCAUCGAGUGAACACCUCGUGCUUGUGUCCACUCCCGUGUCAAGGAUGACACCACCUCUUGAUGGGAGGGCAUCUAACUAACCACUUAACACCUGAACCAAUUAAUAAUGUUUAUUUGUUGUUAUCUUGAAUUCUUCAGUGAUGUAAAAAUGCCUUUAUAAGGGUCUGCGCACCCAUUUUCUGUUAGAAGCCAUUAAACUUUUCCGAAGUUCUUUCAUUAACCUGAACCCUGUGUCUCAGUGUGAAUUUACUUCUGCGUGCACGCAACUUUAUUAUCUUUAAUUUGGACAGGAACAGAUAGUCAUUCAAACUUAUUGGUUUGCAGAAAAUAAUCUACUACAAUUUGGUGCCUUCAACGUGGGGCUCUGGGUUAUGUCCUGCCCGGACAGCCGUCCAAGAAGACGCUGUGGGGAUGAAUCCUGGGGGAAGGAAAAGAGCCUGAUCACCUCUGAGUACACGGUGGAGACUGCUGCAGCACCUAGCCGGUAUGUUCCUGCCCCUGUGAUUGACCUGUCCCAGUGUCUGUGACUGCUGCCGAGAGGACAUCAAAGUCAGGUAAUAACUUGCCCAGAGUCUUUGUAUUCUUAAUGAUACCUAGUUUACCUGCAUGUUGACUAUCUGUUGCCUGGGAGUGUUUGUAUUGGUUUGUGUUUAGCUUAGUCCCCGGGGAGUGUGAGUGCCUGUUUACCCCUUUUAGGUGCUAGGUGGCUCUAGCGGUAAAGGAAAAAGGGGAGGGGACCUGGUGGAAGUCUGUGUGGACUCACUACUUUCUUAGGUCUGGGGUGUCACUUUGAGGGCCUGGCUAGCCUCAUUGUGCACGUUACUCUGCUUGCAGAGGGUGAGACACUUCAGCCUCGAGCGCUGACGCUGGUAGUGUUCUGUUAACCUCUCAGUGCCCGCGGAUACGGACACUGUUAGGUUGUGGUGGGAUUGGAUUCGGGCAGGCAUUGCUGUUUCCAUCACCAUGCGGUAGUGAGACUUGCGGGUGGGUCCGCAACAGGGACACUACGAGGUUGAGGGAGGUAGCUGCGGCCACACGAGUAAAGGAAAGGGAUUACUGUGAUUUUAUUUGAACUGUGAUGCAUGCACUGUAUUUUAUUUUGUCUUAAUUGUCUGUCACACAGAUUCCUGUGCUUAAUCCUAUCUUACUCUCUGUGUUAUUUACACUUUCCCCUCUUAUUUCUCUUUGUUGAGAGAAGUGAUUGGUCACACACUUCUCGCCACGCUCCAAUCCGCGGCUACCUCGGGUAGGCGGAAUUAGUGACUAGUCUACGUUUUGGGAAGACGUACGUAGGAACCCACUCUUACGUAGCAGUCGAGCACUGUAGACCUUCUUUUUCUCUCUUUCUCUAUAUCUGGGACGCCUUAUAUAGGGAGGAUGGGACAGAAGUUAGAUAAACCCAGUAAGGGUUGGUUAGCAUGUGAUUUAGUAGAAGACAGAGAAGGAGAAGAGGUGGUUAAGAAAGUGAGGAAGAUUGCUAAAGUAUGUGGAAUUACCGUACCUCCGUGCGGCAGAUUGCAGCCAGAGAGCUGGCGUAAGUUACUGACAGAGAAGAAAGGGAAGCUGUCGGACCACGAUUUGGUUCGUACAGCAGAAGCCUGGUACCGAGUAGCAAGAGCUAUUCAGCAAGAGGGAUGGGUUGAGGAAGAAAUUGAUCAUAAAGGUUUAAGAUUGUUUGUGUAUUAUAAUAAUUGUGUUACUGGGAAGUUCUCCCAGCCAGCGCCCUAUGAUGGCGCCCAGGAGGUGACCACUCCCAACAUCGCGUCAGCAAUGACCGAAAUGCAGCUGACCAUGGUCCCCACCCCUGGUCCCCACCCUACCACCGCCCCUGUUUACCCAGUCCUGAAUGCUGAUGGAUCCUUAUUCUCCCCCCCAUCAGUCCUACAGAUCUCGUCACCCUCAUCCUCUCUCACACCACCCUCCCUCUCCAGUCCGUUUCUCCCGUCUGCUCUUCCUCCCUUCCGCCCCUCCCCUACCUGCCCACCUUCUCCUACUCCUCCUACUAAUCCCUCCCCUCCGUCUGUCCCCCCCCACUGCUCCGUCUUCUUUCCCUCCCUCAUCUCCUGCCCUUCCUACUCCACCUUCUCCUCCUCCUACCCCUCCCGUCCCUCCUACUCCACCUUCUCCUCCUCCCACUCCACCUGCUACUCAUUCUUCCAUUUCCCCACCACCAUACCUAUAUCCUUUAUAUCCUCCCUCCCUUCCUAAUCCAUACCCAUCUCCUCCGCCCUACCCGUGCUCCGCCCUAGCACCUGCCCAAAUGACCUGGCCAUUCCCCUACCCUUAUCCUGCAACUCCGCCCUAUUCCGCCACUUCCUACGUACCUUCCAUAGCCACACCCCCGUCCCCGAUCACGCCUACCCUGCCUCAACCUGCUCAAGUUGUGCCCAUAUCCAACAUGGCCGCCACUUCCUCCCUUAACCCCAACGCCACUUCCUCCCUUAACCCCAACGCCACUUCCUCCCUUAACCCCAACGCCACUUCCUUCCACGCCUCCAAUAUGGCAGCCCCCAGUGGUGCGGCACCUCUAAUGCUAGUCCUUCCAAAUGAUUUGUUACCACCAGCGAAUACCACACCAUUAGCUCCGGCAGGUGGAGUGCCCAUUCUACCCCCGGCCCUGACACCUCAGGUAGCUACAAAUCCUACAGGGGUCCGAGUGUCACCAUCCCAGAAUGAAUUUGAUUCAGUCAGCUCUCAUGGUUAUCAAAUCCCACCGGACUCCAGAAACACAUCGCCCGGCCUGCCCCGGUGCUCUAUCAAUGACCCUUUUGGUCGCCGGAUUCAGGGAGAGAAGGCCCCUGUAAUGUAUGUCUCCUUCAAUCCCACUCAGGCCUCUGCUCUAAUGAAAUCACUCCCUGACCCCGAAAAACAGCCCAUGCCCUUCUAUGGAGGGGUAGUUCAAAUUCAACAGACCUAUUCCGCCGCAUGGCGUGAUUUGUUAAGCAUCUGUGCCAUAAAGGCUGGAGAUGCUUAUUGGCCUAGCAUUGCCCGCCACCUCUGCAACAACUGGCUCACUAGUGAUACUGACUAUGCAUCGGGGAUUGAAUUCUGUGCCCAGCUGAAGUACUGGGCUAAGGAUAAGCUCGCAGACUUAGCAGCUGGCCUCAACGAUGUGGUUCAGGAAAAAGGUGAAUCUGUGGAGAGGUUCCAUGCUAGACUUUUCCAAGUAUUCUCAGACCUGGGAUUUGAUCUCAGCAACAAAAUUCACUCCCAGAUGCUUUCUGGUGCCUUUGUCCUAGGCAUCAAAGACUCUAUACGCAAGGGUAUUAUUGCUGCUCGCCCUGAAUAUCGGAUGGUUCCCCUGGAUAAGUUACUCUUAGUUGCCAGAGGACUAGAAUCAGCACAGAAUCCUAGAAAGUUCAAUUCAACUCCUAUUAUGGUGUCACGCCCAGUCCCAAGAGGCACCAGGCCCACUGAUGGAAUCUGUUUUAAUUGUGGGGAAAAGGGCCAUUUCAGGAGUGAUUGCCCCGAGCCCCGGAGAUACCGAAAAUCAUAUACAGACCAGGAGGUGCCUAAACCCACACCAAUAACAAAGGCUCCAAAACCUCCCUUGCCCGAUUCAGUCCAAGAAGAUUAGGAAAUUGGCAAGCCUGUGUCAUUAACCCCUGUCAUGGCAGUAUCUUCAGGGGAACAAGGGGGGCCACUAGCCACUGUAACUUUACCUAUUGAAGGUCACCCUACCAUAUUCCUUGUUGACACAGGUGCAGCCCGAAGUGUUCUGAGAGAACAAGACCUGCCUGAUUCUUCAUUCCUUUCCAAUAUUGACGUCUCCUGUGUAGGUGUAGAUGGCCUCCCGAGACAUAGUCCUUUAACUACUCCUUUGCGGGUUGGCAACUGUCCCAAUCUGCUUGCCCGAUUUGUGGUGUCUUCAACAUGUCCUAUUAACCUAUUAGGUGCUGAUGUCUUUUCCCGCCUACAGGCAUCUAUCACCUUCACACCGGACGGCCAGGUGGAACUAUCUACUCCCCUGUCCGAAUCAGACACCUCAGCCUUGUGUUCCCUGCCUUUGAUGCUUCAUCUAGAAAAACCCCAUGGGAAUGCAAAGGCCCUGAGGGACAACUUUCCAGAAAUUCUAAUGACAAGUGUCCCCAAGAAACUGUGGUCUUCAGGCCCAGAGGACAUAGGUCAUCUAAAGGUCCCACCUGUGAUGGUAAAGCUAAUUCCAGGAGCAAAAUUACCGAGAAAGUCUCAAUAUCCGCUGAAACCAGCACAAGCUGUGGCCAUCAUGGAACAAGUACAAGCACUACUGGCUAAAGGUGCUCUUGUCAAGUGCGAAUCACCAUGCAACACCCCAUUGUUCCCUGUGAAGAAGAGGACACCUAAGGGUGAACCUGACAAGUACAGGAUGAUCCAGGAUCUUCGGGCUGUCAAUGAGGCCACAGUUUUGGACACCCCAAUUGUGCCUAACCCACACACCCUUCUCUCUGGUGUUCCACCUUCUGCCACAUACUUCACAGUUAUUGAUCUGGCCAAUGCCUUUUUCAGUGUCCCUCUGGACCCCACCUGUCAGUACCUGUUUGCCUUCACGCGAGAAACAACAAUACACGUGGACUGUUAUGCCCCAGGGAGCACAAAAUUCACCAAGUCAGUUUGCAAAGGCAAUGUCUUCCAUCCUUGAUCCAUGGCAAUCUGACCACCCCAAGGUUGUCCUGCUCCAAUAUGUUGAUGACCUGCUCCUUUGUGGAGAUGACAUCCCCACGACAGAAAAAUGUUCUCUGGACCUCCUUUGUUAUCUUGCAGAUCAGGGGUGUAAGGCAUCUCUUGUCAAACUUCAAUUUUGCCAGGCCACAGUAAUCUUUCUAGGCCAUUGCCUGUCCCAUGACACUAGACACCUCACCCAUGAUCGUGUCGGAGCGGUUUUGGCCAUUCCGCCUCCAAAAACUCCAAAAUCCCUCCACGCCUUUCUAGGCCUCAUUUCUUACUGCCGAGCGUGGAUCCCAGAGGCCUCUCUACUCAUGCAACCUUUGUACGAUGCUCUUAAAUCAGACCCGUUCUGUCUGUCCUCAGAAGCACAUGACAACUUCUACACUCUCCAACGUGCUAUUGCCUCUACUCCCGCCCUUGGCUUGCCAAACUACACCAAACCAUUCAAAUUAUUUGUGUCUGAAAGAUAAGGACAGAUGACUCCUUACUCAAGCCCAUGGACCUGGCGGCCGCCAAAGGCCUUUUGGCUUCUUCUCUUGCCAACUAGACAUUGUGGCUAGAGGAACCCCCUCUUGCCUCCGAGCUGUUUUUGCCGCUCAGGAACUCAUAAACCGCACUGGGGACCUGGUUCUUGGCCACCCUCUGACUGUUUUGGCACCUCAUGAUAUUUCUGCCAUACUUAACCAGGUCCAACUCAAACAUGUCACCCCUGCCAGGCACCUUCGUCUCCAAUGUCAUCUCCUGUUACCUGACAAUGUUACCCUUCAAAGAUGUCAGGUUCUGAAUCCGUCCACUCUUCUGCCACUCCCUGAGGGGGGUAGCUACUAUGGAUUUAUCAUGGAUGAAGGCUAUGCCCUUCUGUGAUGGGCCAGAAUAUGCCUUCUGCACCAUGUGGUACAAGCCAACCAUCAACCGUGACCCUCAUUAUGAAGAUGAACUUUAUCAAUUAGUUGAGGUAAAACUCAUUCUACAAGAUUUUUACUGCGAUACUGAAGGCAACAGUAUGAUUUUGGUUCAACUACCACUUGGACUUGAACAUCUAUAUCACCAUUGGGACACAGCCAUUCCACAUGUCCCUGUUACCAAAUCAAAGAUAAAGUCAUGGGGUGAUCUCGGGCCCAUGGCAAAACUAUGGGCCACCAUGGAUGAACUACAGCUCCAAGAAAAAGUACCCAACAACUGAACAUGUAAAAGCAUGGCCACGGUACUUUCUGGAAGAAGAAUUUGAAGAUCUGGUCAUAAAGCACGACUAUGAUCCAGAAACGCCCCAUAACUGUUUUGAACAGAUGAAAAUGGAAACAACACAUUUGCCAACCGUGUAUGAGGAUCCACUAAUAGAUCCUGACCUCAUCCUGUUUGUGGACGGCUCAAGGUAUGCUGAUGAAGAAGGAAAAUAUCACACAGGAUAUGCCGUCACCACAACAGAUGAAAUUAUCAAGUCAUCAUCUCUACCAUCAACAAUGUCUGCGCAGGAAGCUGAAUUACAAGCCCUAAAUUCAGCAUGCAAGAUAUCUGAAGGAAAGCGCGCCAAUAUCUACACAGAUUCAAGAUACGCACUGGGCGUGGCUCAUGACUUCGGAUUAAUUUGGAAAACAAGAGGAUUUCUUACCACUGCCGGUACACCAGUCAAGCACAGUUCUGCAAUCAAGGAGCUGAUGGAUGCCUUCCUACUCCCAGAAGAAGUGGCCAUUCUGAAGGUAAAGGCACAUGGGAAGUUGGAUUCGGAUGAAGCAAGGGGCAACCAUCUGGCUGAUCAAGCUGCAAAACAAGCUGCAAGAGAACUACAGGAAGUGGACAGAAGUGUGUCCGGAAAUGAAGAAACUCCCACAUUUACCUUGCAGACACUUCCAACUGAUCUAAAAAUCCUACGGGAACAACAGGCUGCAGUUGCUCCUGAAGAAAUACAAAGAUGGAAACAGAAAGGGGCAGUUCUGAAGGAUGGAGUGUACUCCAACAACCUCAAGUUCUGCCUCCCUAAGAAUUUGUACCCAGCAGUCGUACAAUGGGCACACGGACCUGCACAUUUAUCAAAGGAUCUAAUGAAUGCUCUUGUACAAAAAUACUACGAAGCACCCGGAAUUACUACACUAACCAGUAACUACUGCAAGGCCUGUGUAAUUUGUGCUAAAUGCAAUCCAGGAAAAACAAUCAAAGUUCCUCCAAAACAUCUGGUUAAACCCAUGUAUCCAUUUCAAAGGAUUCAAAUCGACCACAUCCAGAUGCCAAAGAGUGGUCACCAUGAAUAUGCACUAGUGAUAGUGGACAUGUUCUCAGGCUGGCCAGAAGCCUAUCCAGUAGUCAACAUUACCGCCAAGACAACAGCAAAACGUCUACUCACAGUAAUUGUAUGUAGAUUUGGACUCCCAGAAGUUAUUGAAAGCGACCAGGGCCCAGCUUUCACAGCAUCAGUAACUAAAGAGAUUUGGACUGCCCUAGGAGUGACCCUUGCCUUCCACACGCCUUAUCACCCACAAAGCAGUGGCAAAGUGGAACGUAUGAAUAGUACCCUAAAAGCUAGAAUGUUAAAAAUGUCACAAGAAACAAAGAUGCCCUGGCCAGAAAGCUUGUCAAUAGCUCUAUUCAGUGUCAGACACACACCCAGAGGAAAACCCUCACUGUCCCCAUAUGAGAUUCUAUUUGGGACUGCACCUAGGCUAGGUUGCUAUUUUCCCCAACAACUACAACUUCAAACUGAUGUUUUAGUAGAUUAUGUAACUGAACUUGCAAAUGCUUUAAGCAAAAUCCAUGCCCAAGUUUUCUCUUCAAUUCCAGAUCCUGAUUCUGAUACGGGCAACCACAGUCUGCUCCCUGGUGAUUGGGUCCUAGUCAAGAAAUUUGUGCGGAAACACACCCUGGAACCAAGAUUUGACGGACCAUUCCAAGUUCUACUGAUCACCUCCACCUCCGUCAAGUUGGCUGGGAAAAGCAACUGGAUCCACGCCUCCCAUUGCAAAAAGGUUCCUGUCCCAGAGGAAGCAGACUCCUCACAACUAUGUACCUCUGGUACAUCAUCCCUUUGAUUAGUUUCCUUGAGGCCCAACAAGUGGCCAUUACCAAAGAUGCUAGUGGGUACACAUUCUGGUAUAAUUUGUCAUGCACCCGCGUAGCUACAUUCACCUUUGAUUACUGUGACAUAGUAGAUUGCCCAUUUCCCAAGUCACAGAUUCAAACCAUUUACAAAGAUAUACCACACGCAAAGGACCCCUAUGUUUGUGUAGUUGACAAGCAAUGGGGACACAACUGUGACAAUUGGGGGGCUGCAGGAUGGAAUACUGGGCCUGCCUGGGGUUACAAACCCAAAAGUGCCUUAUCUAAAGUAGAUGACCAUGGUAGAUCCCUCCUUCAAAGAAUGACUUUAAGAAAGCCUGGAGGAGGUCUGCCCAUGAAAUUAAUGUUAAACAUUGAGCACCCUGGUCCAAAGGAUGCUGACCAAUAUGUAAUGGGAAUGUAUUGGAAAAGUGGUUCCUGUAACAAAUUAGGUCAUUUCUAUCUUAAAGAUAUGUGCCACUCUCCAGAGUGGCAAGGGGCUGUUCAUAUGGUCCCGAAUCCACUGAAACCACAUAUCCAGUCUUUUAAGGACAUGAUGGCCAUUGCUAACCCCACCUUUGAAGACACCAUGGCCACUGAAACUGGUUACAAUGAUAUCAAUCUAUGGUUAGAGUGGAUGAAAUAUAAUGCUAAUAAACAUAACAAAACCGCAUGCUAUGUGUGCGGUGGUGCUCGACCUCAUCUUGGCACCGUUCCUCUAACUCUCCCUUUGGAGAUAGAGAAUUGCUUCCUCAGUCUUUUUGCCUACCGCUAUAAUUUCAACAGAUCCCUCUGCGAAGCAUGAACUGAGAGUACCCCCUCUUAAUUGGAAAUGUCAAACCCCCAGAUGGAAUCACGAUUUACAAGGGUAAUUACACUUGCUAUGCUAACUAUGACGGGAUUGGUAAAUUCAUGGGUAACUUUUCCAAUGGCUAUUGUGCCACCUACAGAACUGUUCCUAUACGCCUGUUGCAACACCAUACCAGGUCAUUGGGGGAUAUUUACUGGUUAUGUGGGGAUCUACAGUUAAGAUCUAGGCUGGAAACUGAGUGGUGGGGUGAGUGUACCCUGGCCAAAGUUAUCAUGCCCAUUCAUAUUAUUUCUGAUAAUCAUCAUGACACAUACGACCCUCCACAUACACCAGCCAGAGUGAAGCGCAAAACCCCAGUAAAAGGCAGUUUUGACCCCCACAUUUACAUAGAUGCCGUUGGGGUACCUAGGGGGGUGCCUAAUGAAUUUAAAGCUAGAGAUGAAGUCGCUGUAGGUUUUGAAUCACUUUUUACCAUAGUCACUGCCAACAAAAACCUUAAUUGGAUUAACUACAUUUACUACAACCAACAGCGUUUCAUCAACUACACCAGGGAUGCCCUCCAGGGCCUGGCCGAGCAGUUGCAGGCCACAUACCAGAUGACCUGCCAGAACAGAAUGUGGAAUGGAUUCUAGCUGAAAAGGGGGGUGUAUGUAAAAUACUACCUGACAACAUGACUUGUUGCACUUAUAUCCCAGAAAACACAGGUCCAAAUGGUAAAGUCACUAUGGCCAUAGCGAAGUUAGAGAAACUCUCAGAAGAGUUGAAGAGGAAUUCUGGGGUAACAGAUCCCUGGGAAAGGUGGUUUGGUUGGAUGUCAGGUUGGCAGAAAGCUUUAGUCCAUAUUGGUAUGGCUCUACUAAUUUUCCUUUUUGUUCUCGCUCUUCUCGUUUGUUGUGUCCUCCCAUGCCUUAGAAAAUUCUUACAGAAGACUACAGACCAAGCGAC
This is a non-coding RNA of Pelobates cultripes (western spadefoot toad), 26061 nucleotides long. Lineage: Eukaryota; Metazoa; Chordata; Amphibia; Anura; Pelobatidae. The record is from the annotation of a GenBank genome assembly.